This 88-nucleotide microRNA precursor is filed under the name Podarcis lilfordi (Lilford's wall lizard). The record is from RNAcentral. Lineage: Eukaryota; Metazoa; Chordata; Lepidosauria; Squamata; Lacertidae.
GUGUGUGUGUGUGUGUGUGUGUGUGUGUGUGUGUGUGUGUGUGUGUGUGUGUGUACGUACGUACGUACACACACACACACACACACAC